Non-coding RNA from Carica papaya (papaya), 1447 nucleotides. NCBI's taxonomy places the organism in Eukaryota, Viridiplantae, Streptophyta, Magnoliopsida, Brassicales, Caricaceae. The record is from RefSeq and is a predicted model, not a curated record.
AGUUAGCAGAUACCGCCUACGUGGACUUCCGUGAGCCGGUAGUGCCGGAUACGAUGAAGCCCAUCCCAUCUCUCCUAUUCGACGCCACUGUUUUUCUCAGUCCGUCUCGGAGCAUCAAUCCAUUGGAACGCAGUCAUUCUCUUCUUCUGCUAUUUCCAUUAUAAGCAAAAGAGCAGAGCAAAGGACCUACUGUAGAUGGCACUUAGCUCUGCUUCUACCUCAAUUUCUGUGGUGAAACCGGCGGGUUCGAUUUCAUUUCCGACUAGGAAUCCGAAGCAAUCUCUUCUUCUCAACGUCGUUUCCUCAUCAUCAUCAUCAGCCAAUGUACUCUCACGGUCGUUUCUUCGGGUUUCUGCAGCAGAUUCAGCCCCGAAAGCUCGUUUUAUUGCUCGCCGCAGAGAGUCCGUUUCGGUCCGUCAACUCCAGCGCCCUCUAACUGAGUACAUGAGCUUGCCGGCGAGUCAGUACUCGGUGUUGGAUGCGGAGAGGAUUGAGAGGGUUGAUGAUAACACAUUCAGGUGCUAUGUCUAUAGGUUUAAGUUCUUCAAUUUCGAGGUUUGCCCGGUUUUGCUUGUUAGAGUUGAAGAGCAGCCUGAUGGUUGUUGUAUUAAGCUCUUGUCCUGCAAGCUUGAGGGAUCACCUAUUGUUGUGGCCCAGAACGACAAGUUUGAUGCUUCUAUGGUGAAUCAAAUAUCAUGUGGUAGCAAUCUAAGCAACUCAUCAAUGCAACAACUAACUUCAGAUGCAGUUAUUGAGGUCAACAUUGAGAUCCCUUUUGCAUUUAGGGCACUUCCCACGGCAGCAAUAGAAGCAACUGGGAGACAAGUCCUUGAACAAAUACUUGGACUCAUGCUACCUCGCUUUAUGGCAGAGCUUGUGAAAGACUAUCAAGCAUGGGCUUCUGGCAAUACUUCAAGGCAGCCUCUGGGGACUGGUGAGAUUUAGUGCUCAAGCAGACAGCAUCGGCCAGCACUCGUUCUACCUGUUAGCUUUACCAAGAGCCAUUGGCUCUUGUGGUAAUUUCCUGCCUAAAAAUUGUUCCUCUUCCGUGUCUUAUUUUCUCUUACAUGGUUACACGAUCAUCUGACUAUGUUCUUACCAGUUGGUGAAUCUUUCCUUCAAUUUUAUUGGCAAGGUGGCUUGAAAGCUGCUCUCAAAUAAGUUACAGGUCAGAUCGAAAGACAGAAUCUUGUUUACUGCUCUGAAUUUCUCUUAUCUCCUACUAUAUGGGCUACGAUCAAUGUUUUUUUUUUUCGUUAUUUCUAAAUUUCGAUUUAAAAUGCUUGUGUGCAUUGGUUUAAGGACUAUUUUUCUUGUUCGCGUCGAGCAUUUAGAAGAUGCAAUAGAUAUUUUGUUAGACUUGUAACUUGUUGCAUACGGGUUAGCAUGCUUUUGUUACUUUGUAUUAUUGAAAAUUAUUGUAUGGGGCUGGCAUGAAAUUAUUGAA